Long non-coding RNA from Aegilops tauschii subsp. strangulata, 1213 nucleotides. RefSeq lists it as uncharacterized. The record is from RefSeq and is a predicted model, not a curated record. NCBI's taxonomy places the organism in Eukaryota, Viridiplantae, Streptophyta, Magnoliopsida, Poales, Poaceae.
CCCUCCGGAAGCUUCCUCGCCGACGCUCGCCGACGAACGCCCACGGGAGCACAGUGCUCCGACAUGUUUUAAUGGCGCUCGGCCUCUUCUCCUGCCCCCCUUUGGCCUCCUCCUCCUCGUGAACUCUCUCCUGCUUCCCUCCCUCGUCGUUUGCCCCGAGCCCAUGCGCGCGGGCACGCGUCCGCGGCGCCGGACUCGCGUCGCCGGCGGUGCCAGCUCGGCCUCCCUCUCACCCGCCUAUAAAUGGCCUCCCCCGAGCCCUUCGAGCUCACCAGCAGCCUCCCCGCUCUCCUCUAGCCCCGCCCAAGCUCUUCCCCGAGCUCGAGAAGCUCUCCUGCCCUCCCAUGGCCGCCAUGGCCGCCGCUCGGGUCCGCUCGAAUUCGGCCAAAGCCAAGCCCCCCUCCACCUCUAGCUACCACCUACGUCUUCCCCGUGCUCCGGUGAACCUCCCCAGCCCCUCCAUUCAUCGCCGGAGUGCUUCAGGCCGCCGUUCCCUAGGUCAACCGCCGCCGCCGCCCUCGGCCCCCGCCAGCCGCGCCGUCGUCUCCGGGCCUUCCCCGCGCCUGCUGCUGCUCCAGGAGGGAGCAGCACUCCGUUCCGCGCCCGCCGGUGGUCCCAGCUCCACCGGGGACGGCCGGAGCUGCCCAGGCCAUCGCCGGCGCCCCUCGGCCUCGCCUCUCCCCUGCUCCUGUCGAGAGGAAGAAGGAGAUGGCCAGGUGGGGCGUUGACCUGGCUAGGCGGGCCCGGCGACCCCACAUGUCAGCCACACGAGCCGGCCCCGCCUCUGCCCUUUUGACCAGUCCACCGCACCUCAGCCCCCCUCCGAGAGAGAACGUUUUCCGGCGAAUCUUUCCGCAGCUUCACCGCACUUCUCCCCGGUGCUUUCUUCAUCCCCAGGCAAGCCACAAUACCCACUUGCAUGAUAGUCAUGCAGUAGCCAUGGUUUUCAACUUGAAUAUUUAAUAAAUGUUUGCUUGUUGAAAAGAUGGUUAUCGUUGUCCCGGUGAUGUUCCGAUUUGCAUGUUUACUUUUGUGCUAUGUUGUCUUAUGCUCCGUGAUCAUGUUAUACCUGCUAGUAUUUCCUUUCAUAUGUUUAUGCUUGAUUAGUAGUACAUGUUGAUGUUGGAGAUGGUCAUGCUAGUCAGUAUGCGAUGUUCGGUGGAUAUGAUUUAUUGUUGAUAUGGUGGAUAGUUAUGUGAUACUCUCAUGAUGA